AAGGGAUUAGCUCAAUGGUAGAGCAAUCGUUUUACACACGAAAGGUUAGGUGUUCAAAUCACCUAUCCCUUA
RNAcentral lists this transfer RNA (72 nucleotides) under Cladonia rangiferina. Its description in RNAcentral is "tRNA-Val". It matches the Rfam family "tRNA". From Rfam's summary of the family: Transfer RNA (tRNA) molecules are approximately 80 nucleotides in length. Their secondary structure includes four short double-helical elements and three loops (D, anti-codon, and T loops). Lineage: Eukaryota; Fungi; Ascomycota; Lecanoromycetes; Lecanorales; Cladoniaceae. The record is from RNAcentral. RNAcentral also lists the same sequence under 2 other names.